AUUCGAACGUUAUCACUCGAUUGAAUGGGGCGUUAUCAGCGGUUAUCAGCCCAUAGCUAUGGGCCAGGAGGGGCCUCCUGUGCCUACUAGUAGGCUUAGAAGGCCGUGAUCAUCCAUCCAAAUGGUUGAUCACCCACAAAUAUACAAGAGAAGACUCCAGAUCCAAUCCCAGAAUUCCUGCUCACCGGUAAUCGGAAGUCUACUGGACGAAAGCGGCAACGCUGCGAUAUUUCCUGCUUAAUAUUUUCAGCAUACAUUUCCAGCUGGUUGCAAGGACUUCUGUGGCAAGUUGAAGAUCGCCCAGAGAGCGAUAAGCCAUACAGUUGCUGAUCUUGAAGCAUUAGGCAAGAUUGUCUGAGAACGAUGAACUGGAUUGGUAAUUACAAAAGAUCGCAAAUGACCAAUGCUUCGUCUGAGCCCCGGUCAUCAAAGGCCAAAGUUCACAUUAGAGAGCUGUCGCAUUACAAUCUUUUUUGUAGGGACAUAUUCAAAAACAAAGGCACAAUGAAUGAUAUUAAGGGCUGGUGCGCCACAUUGGGGGAAGAUGCAAAGC
This is a long non-coding RNA of Carassius auratus (goldfish), 553 nucleotides long. RefSeq lists it as uncharacterized. NCBI's taxonomy places the organism in Eukaryota, Metazoa, Chordata, Actinopteri, Cypriniformes, Cyprinidae. The transcript has 5 exons. The record is from RefSeq and is a predicted model, not a curated record.